Molecule: ribosomal RNA, 428 nt
Filed under: uncultured bacterium
Lineage: Bacteria
Description: partial 16S ribosomal RNA
Rfam family: Bacterial small subunit ribosomal RNA
Source: RNAcentral
UGGGAAAUAUUGCACAAUGGGCGAAAGCCUGAUGCAGCAACGCCGCGUGAGUGAUGAAGGUCUUCGGAUUGUAAAGCUCUGUCUUUUGGGACGAUAAUGACGGUACCAAAGGAGGAAGCCACGGCUAACUACGUGCCAGCAGCCGCGGUAAUACGUAGGUGGCGAGCGUUGUCCGGAUUUACUGGGCGUAAAGGGUGCGUAGGCGGAUGUUUAAGUGAGAUGUGAAAUACCCGGGCUUAACUUGGGUGCUGCAUUUCAAACUGGAUAUCUAGAGUGCAGGAGAGGAGAAUGGAAUUCCUAGUGUAGCGGUGAAAUGCGUAGAGAUUAGGAAGAACACCAGUGGCGAAGGCGAUUCUCUGGACUGUAACUGACGCUGAGGCACGAAAGCGUGGGUAGCAAACAGGAUUAGAUACCCUGGUAGUCCACGC